Molecule: small nucleolar RNA, 144 nt
Filed under: Callorhinchus milii (elephant shark)
Lineage: Eukaryota; Metazoa; Chordata; Chondrichthyes; Chimaeriformes; Callorhinchidae
Description: Small nucleolar RNA SNORA57 (ENSCMIG00000005629.1)
Rfam family: Small nucleolar RNA SNORA57
About the family: U99 belongs to the H/ACA class of snoRNAs which are thought to guide the sites of modification of uridines to pseudouridines, the target for this family is unknown.
Source: Rfam by way of RNAcentral
CCUCCUGUUCUUGUCACGCCCGCCCUGUGUGUGGGAGCGCGUGUAUAUAUCAUACGGAGGGACAGUGACCGACCUCAGUGUUAUGUCUUCGGUGGCAGCGGAGGUGUCCGUCUGUUGCUUCUAUCCUCACUCACUGAGACAAGA